GUUCGAAAGAUUGUUGAAAGACAAGAUAUGAUCAUAGAGCGAGUUGACAUGGGGAACAAUAUAGUGAAUUCUUUCACUAAGAUCUCAUAACAGUAGUAGUUUAAGCACCACCUUGAUUGCAUGAGCAUCAAGUACGGGGGCGAUUGGCUUUAGUACCGGUGGGAGAUUGAAAGAAUUGUGUCCUACAAGUCAAUCACAGAUGUGACGCGAUGAAAUAUUUUUUAUAUUCUAUCUUCCUAACUCAUGUAUUU
Molecule: long non-coding RNA, 251 nt
Filed under: Elaeis guineensis (African oil palm)
Lineage: Eukaryota; Viridiplantae; Streptophyta; Magnoliopsida; Arecales; Arecaceae
Description: long non-coding RNA (EGUI_LNC038707)
Source: RNAcentral